CAAUAGCGUAUAUUAAAGUUGUUGCGGUUAAAAAGCUCGUAGUUGGAUUUCUGCCGAGGACGACCGGUCCGUCCUCUGGGUGAGUAUCUGGCUCGGCCUGGGCAUCUUCUUGGAGAACGUAGCUGCACUUGACUGUGUGGUGCGGUAUCCAGGACUUUUACUUUGAGGAAAUUAGAGUGUUUCAAGCAGGCUUACGCCUUGAAUACAUUAGCAUGGAAUAAUAAGAUAGGACCUCGGUUCUAUUUUGUUGGUUUCUAGAGCUGAGGUAAUGAUUAAUAGGGAUAGUUGGGGGCAUUCGUAUUUAACUGUCAGAGGUGAAAUUCUUGGAUUUGUUAAAGACGGACUACUGCGAANGNAUUUGCNAAGGAUGUUUNCAUUG
This 379-nucleotide ribosomal RNA is filed under the name uncultured eukaryote. Its description in RNAcentral is "partial 18S ribosomal RNA". It matches the Rfam family "Eukaryotic small subunit ribosomal RNA", at positions 592 to 975 of the family's 1831-position model. The record is from RNAcentral.